Molecule: ribosomal RNA, 494 nt
Filed under: uncultured bacterium
Lineage: Bacteria
Description: partial 16S ribosomal RNA
Rfam family: Bacterial small subunit ribosomal RNA
Source: RNAcentral
GACGAACGCUGGCGGCGUGCUUAACACAUGCAAGUCGAACGGUGAAGCGCCUUCCUUUUUGGUGGGUGUGGAUGAUUGGCGAACGGGUGAGUAACACGUGAGUAACCUGCCCCCUUCUUCUGGCUAACCGCAUGAACGUGUGGCUAAUACGGGAUAUUCUGGGUCUGUCGCAUUAUGGGUCUGGGAAAUCUAUUGUUUCGGUGGGGGAUGGGCUCGCGGCCUAUCAGCUUGUUGGUGGGGUGACGGCCUACCAAGGCGGCGACGGGUAGCCGGCCUGAGAGGGUGGACGGACAAACAGGGAGUGAGACACCGAGCAGACACAUACGGGAGGCAGCAGUGGGGAAUAGUGCACAAUGGGCGCAAGCCUGAUGCAGCGAAGCCGCGGGAGGGACGGAGGCCGUCGGGUGGUGAACCUCUUACGCGAGUGAAGCAGGACUGCCUGGUUUGUGGGUGGGUUGACGGUAGCUGGAUAAGAAGCGCCGGCAAACUACGUG